CUUUUUAGUAAUAGCCAUUCUGACUGGUGUGAGAUGGUAUCUUGUGAUUUUGAUUUGCAUUUCUCUAAUGAUCAUCGAUAUUGAGCUUUUUCUUGCAUGCUUAUUGGCUGCAUGUAUGUCUUCUUUUGAGAAAUCCUCUUGAUAUAUUUUG
Long non-coding RNA from Sapajus apella (tufted capuchin), 151 nucleotides. RefSeq lists it as uncharacterized. Lineage: Eukaryota; Metazoa; Chordata; Mammalia; Primates; Cebidae. The record is from RefSeq and is a predicted model, not a curated record. The transcript is spliced from 3 exons.